GUGGAGGGAAGCUCAGUGCUGAGGCUACAGACAGAGUGUAGGGGUCACUCUAUGUGCCUCAGGGAAGGUCUGAGACUGGAGCUCCUAGUUGCCCCUGCAGGGCAUCCCUUGGAUGAAGGGGGUGGGUCCCCAGAGAACUUGGCUCUGAUUGCCCAGUGAGUGCAAAAGAUGCAGCAAGUACCCAAUGUUGUGCUUCUGCAGAUGCAAAGGCAUCAGGCUUGGCACUGCCCCACAGCUGGCACAUUCAAGCCCAAUGGCUGAGAGGGAACUGCCUGUGGUUUCCCAACCCAAUUCAGACUACUCUCCCUCCAC
This 312-nucleotide RNase P RNA is filed under the name Xenopus tropicalis (tropical clawed frog). RNAcentral describes it as "Nuclear RNase P (ENSXETG00000049329.1)". It matches the Rfam family "Nuclear RNase P". From Rfam's summary of the family: Ribonuclease P (RNase P) is a ubiquitous endoribonuclease, found in archaea, bacteria and eukarya as well as chloroplasts and mitochondria. Its best characterised activity is the generation of mature 5'-ends of tRNAs by cleaving the 5'-leader elements of precursor-tRNAs. Lineage: Eukaryota; Metazoa; Chordata; Amphibia; Anura; Pipidae. The record is from Rfam by way of RNAcentral.